This 303-nucleotide ribosomal RNA is filed under the name uncultured bacterium. RNAcentral describes it as "partial 16S ribosomal RNA". It matches the Rfam family "Bacterial small subunit ribosomal RNA", at positions 507 to 809 of the family's 1533-position model. The record is from RNAcentral.
AGCAGUCGCCGCGGUAAUACGUAGGUCCCGAGCGUUGUCCGGAUUUAUUGGGCGUAAAGCGAGCGCAGGCGGUUAGAUAAGUCUGAAGUUAAAGGCUGUGGCUUAACCAUAGUACGCUUUGGAAACUGUUUAACUUGAGUGCAGAAGGGGAGAGUGGAAUCCCAUGUGAAGCGGUGAAAUGCGUAGAUAUAUGGAGGAACACCGGUGGCGAAAGCGGCUCUCUGGUCUGUAACUGACGCUGAGGCUCGAAAGCGUGGGAGCGAACAGGAUUAGAUACCCCGGUAGUCCCUGUCUCUUAUACAC